This is a long non-coding RNA of Nomascus leucogenys (northern white-cheeked gibbon), 1733 nucleotides long. RefSeq lists it as uncharacterized. The transcript has 4 exons. NCBI's taxonomy places the organism in Eukaryota, Metazoa, Chordata, Mammalia, Primates, Hylobatidae. The record is from RefSeq and is a predicted model, not a curated record.
CUUGACCUCUUAAGUUCAUGAUCCACCUGCCUCGGCCUCCCAAAGUGCUGGGAUUACAGGCCUGGGGGAGUUUUAAAGCUUGUCAGGUGAUCCCAAUGUGCAGCCAAGGUUGAGGACCACUGCCCCGGGGCUCUGCGGAGGUCUGGUCCCACCUGGAGGGUGGCCUGAGCUGGCACCUCCCACACCCUGUCGCUCUCCAUGAUUUCCACCAGUGCAGUUCCAGGCCACAUCUUUGUGGGCAGCACCCUGUCAUGUCACUCAGGCAGAUGGCCUCUCUCUGUUACAGGCUUAAAUGCAAAACAAAUAAAGCUCAAGUGCAAGGACUUUAACUCUAUGAAAUGUUUUACCCUUUGUUUCAGCACAUCCAUCAAGCUCUUUUUUCAAUGCUGGCUUUGUCAAACAACAGACCAGAAAUGCUAAGGAAAUAGUUCAGCUUCCUGGGUCUUCGUUGAGAUCACCAAGAAAAAUGAAGAGACAGGUCUGAGGCUGAAGGCCACGGCCCGCUCCUGGAGACUUUUGGCCAAGCCGACGUGAAGUCUCUCAUCUUUCUCUCACAGCGUGGCCAUCCAGCCUGCCUGAUUUCUCCUGAGCAUACAAGUGCCUGGUCCACACGUCCACAAGGCAACGAGGAAUGCAUUGCCAAAUACCUGGCUGAAAUCAAGCUCACUCUUACGGAGCCGCAGCAGCCAGCUCCCCGGGGAAGGAGGAAGGCAGCCCCACAGAUAUAAGCAGCUUGGAGAGGAGCUUCCUGGCCAGAUCCUGGCAGGAGAUGGAGUUCUCCUGGCACAGCCGGCUUCCUGGCCACAGAGGCCCCAGAAUGGGAAGGCAGCAGGGCUGGGGCCUGGAGGAGGUGGUCGGGGAAGGAGAGGAACCAGGCUUCAACAGUGUAAGGGACCAUCAGCCAGAGACAGUGCAGGAGACGGCUAUGGAGAGGAAGAUACAAAAACUGGGCCGCAACUUAGGGCAGAGGUGUGAUGGGCAGAGCUGAGAGAGGCUGGGGAGACGGCUCAGGCAGGCAAGGCCCAAUUUUGUUUCGGGGUCUGGCAUGUGACCCUGGCCCAGGCCUUUCUUCUUGGAUGUCUCUGACAGAUGGAUCCAUCCUCUAGACCAUCCUUGGAAGGGGAGAGGGAUGACCCAGUGUCCCACAGGAAGCCCCUGUCCCCAGCCCCCACAUGGAAGACAGCAGCAUCCACAGAUGCAGCACAGAAUUGCUGGAGCCAGGACCAGCAGCUGGGAUGCAGAUGUGUAGGAGGAUUGCCGGCGCCUGGGAAACAGGACCACCCCUGUGCCUGCCGCAGCCUCUCUCAUCACAAUGCAAACCUCCCUACCCACAUUGCUUCUUCAGGGCACUGACAGAGGAUGCAGGAGGAGGAAACGUCACUUACCCUCUGGUAAUACACAUGGGCCAGGACUCCUGCCACCAGCUCAACCAGGAAGAUGACGAGCAACAGGCAGAAAUACUAGGAGCAAAGAGAGAAGACGGUCACCACUGGGAUCAGGAUGCUGCCAUGACAAAUGUUUCCCCACAGUGGUGGGGGUGGCAGAGAUACCUGCUGGGACCCCUAUCAUCCAUACCAUCUUCCUCCUGGAUGUACCAGCCUCACUGGCUGCCAGCACCAAGUUCCCCACUUACUCCUUCCCUCCUUGGUCUGCUGACAAUUCGGUAAUGCAUCCACUCAUCCAAUAUGUAUUAAAUACCUGCUACAUGCCAGGUGCCAGGUAGCGUAAGACAA